UACGUAGGUGGCAAGCGUUGUCCGGAAUCACUGGGCGUAAAGCGCGCGCAGGCGGCGAUCUACGUCUGGGGUGAAAGCCCGGAGCUCAACUCCGGGACUGCCUUGGAUACGGGAUCGCUUGAGGAUUGGAGAGGCAAGGGGAAUUCCACGUGUAGCGGUGAAAUGCGUAGAUAUUCGGAAGAACACCAGUGGCGAAGGCGGCUCACUGGACUGGUAUUGACGCUGAGGUGCGAAAGCGUGGGGAGCAAACAGG
Molecule: ribosomal RNA, 253 nt
Filed under: uncultured bacterium
Lineage: Bacteria
Description: partial 16S ribosomal RNA
Rfam family: Bacterial small subunit ribosomal RNA
Source: RNAcentral